Molecule: ribosomal RNA, 311 nt
Filed under: uncultured fungus
Lineage: Eukaryota; Fungi
Description: eukaryotic LSU rRNA
Rfam family: 5.8S ribosomal RNA (bases 1-71)
Source: RNAcentral
GUGAAUCAUCGAAUCUUUGAACGCACCUUGCGCCCUCUGGUAUUCCGGAGGGCAUGCCUGUUUGAGUGUCAUGAAACUCUCAACCCCCUCGGGUUUUACGACCUGUCGCGGUUGGAUUUGGGUCGCUGCCGCUUCAUUGCCGGCUCGCCUCAAAGGUCUUAGUGGGAAUAGUUGGACCCAUAGCUUGGCGUAAUAAGUUUCGCUGGGCUCGUGGCCGACGACCGUCCGCUGACAACAACCAAUACUUUUAUGAUCUGACCUCAAAUCAGGUAGGGCUACCCGCUGAACUUAAGCAUAUCAAUAAGCGGAGG